GAACCGUCCAAACGUUAUUCGGAAUCACUGGGCUUAAAGGGUGCGUAGGCGGCUUGGCAAGUUGGGUGUGAAAUCCCUCGGCUCAACCGAGGAAUUGCGCUCAAAACUGCCUCGCUAGAGGGAGAUAGAGGUGAGCGGAACUUAUGGUGGAGCGGUGAAAUGCGUUGAUAUCAUAAGGAACACCUGUGGCGAAAGCGGCUCACUGGAUCUUUUCUGACGCUGAGGCACGAAAGCUAGGGGUAGCGAACGGGAUUAGAUACCCCGGUAGUCCUAGCUGUAAACGAUGAGCACUGGGUUGGAGAGUCCUCCAUAGCUUUCCGGCCGAAGCGAAAGUGUUAAGUGCUCCGCCUGGGAGUAUGGUCGCAAGGCUG
This 371-nucleotide ribosomal RNA is filed under the name uncultured organism. RNAcentral describes it as "partial 16S ribosomal RNA". It matches the Rfam family "Bacterial small subunit ribosomal RNA", at positions 527 to 896 of the family's 1533-position model. The record is from RNAcentral.